UCCUUAGCUCAAUUGGUUAGAGCUGCGGUCUCAUACUCCGUAGGUUGGGGGUUCGAGUCCCUCAGGAUCC
RNAcentral lists this transfer RNA (70 nucleotides) under bovine gut metagenome. It matches the Rfam family "tRNA". Rfam says of the family: Transfer RNA (tRNA) molecules are approximately 80 nucleotides in length. Their secondary structure includes four short double-helical elements and three loops (D, anti-codon, and T loops). The record is from RNAcentral.